GAUGAACGCUGGCGGCGUGCUUAACACAUGCAAGUCGAACGGAAAGGCUCCUGCUUGCAGGGGUACUCGAGUGGCGAACGGGUGAGUAACACGUGGGUGAUCUGCCCUGCACUUCGGGAUAAGCCUGGGAAACUGGGUCUAAUACCGGAUAGGACGAUGGUUUGGAUGCCAUUGUGGAAAGUUUUUUCGGUGUGGGAUGAGCUCGCGGCCUAUCAGCUUGUUGGUGGGGUAAUGGCCUACCAAGGCGUCGACGGGUAGCCGGCCUGAGAGGGUGUACGGCCAAAUGGGGAAUGGGAGACGGCCCAGACUCCAAGGGGGGGAAGAGGGGGGGAAAAUGGAAAAAGGGGCGAAAGCCGGAGGAGGGGACGCCGGGGGGGGGAGGACGGCCUUCGGGUGGAAACCUCCUUUCGCUAGGGAGGAAGGGAAAGGGCGGGGACCUGGAAAAAAAGCACCGGUAAAAUAGGG
This 465-nucleotide ribosomal RNA is filed under the name uncultured bacterium. Its description in RNAcentral is "partial 16S ribosomal RNA". It matches the Rfam family "Bacterial small subunit ribosomal RNA", at positions 28 to 506 of the family's 1533-position model. The record is from RNAcentral.